Long non-coding RNA from Lycium barbarum (goji berry), 2365 nucleotides. RefSeq lists it as uncharacterized. The record is from RefSeq and is a predicted model, not a curated record. NCBI's taxonomy places the organism in Eukaryota, Viridiplantae, Streptophyta, Magnoliopsida, Solanales, Solanaceae. The transcript has 2 exons.
UCUCUUUUUUUUUAUCUUGAUCCAUUAUUUCAAUAACAUCUUCUAUCUUGAUUUGAAUGUAUUUUUUUGGAUUCAGUAUUAGUUUGAAGAAACGUUCUUAGAUAUGUGCUUGUUAUUAAACUGCUUGUUAAUUUCAUGUUUCAAGUCUAGCAUGUUGGUGUUUAACUAGCACAGAAUUAAGUUAAUAAUAAUAAACAAAUGAUUUUGGCCUCUCAAACUAAUUGUUAAAACAGAACUGCUAUAUGAAGAACUGCUAUGAGAAGAAUCUUUUCAUGUUACCAUCUGUAAAGCAUGUUUAUAUCUAGAAAGGAUAGCCUAUUAAUUACUCCGGCGGUCCAAAUUUAUGCGGCACCUUUCGAAUUUCUAGAUUAAAAAAAAGUCUUUAUUUGGCCGUAAUUAUGUCAUAUUCUUUUAAAUAUUUUAAAUUGUCAUUCCUUGUGACUUUUAGUACUUUUUAUUUAGUUUUCAAAUAUGUAAAUUUUAUUUUAAAAAAAUUAAAGAUUUCAUGUCCUGACUUCACUAUCAAAAUUAAACCGUUUGACCUUCGAAAUUCGAAGUGUGCCACAUAAAUUGGGACAGAGUGAGUAGUUUAACUUAGAAGAUAGAAUUUUCAAGGUCUAAGCAAUAAGCUUCAAAUUUUGAAGAUAAAAAUAUAGCUUCAGUUUCUUGCUCAAAACUUAGCAAAUCUAUGAAUGUUUAACGAUGAGCUUAUCUACACAGUUAGCAUUGGUGGCCUUACGUUUACUGAGAUUAGGAUAUAAAGCAAAUGAUGCAUGCUCAUUUUCUGUUGGUUCACAGGUUGUAUCUUAAUGUAUUAUAAUAAAUUUGUAGAUUUGGUCUUAACAUUUAAAUGGAAUUGAUAUCUCAAUACCUUGAAUGGAAUUGCAAAAUAUCUCGGAAGAGUAGCAUGUAUGGCCACAACAACAACAACAACAACAACAACCCAGUGAAAUCCCACAUCGUGGGGUCUGGGGAGGGUAGAGUGUACGCAGACCUUACUCCUACCAAGGUAGGACGGCUGUUUCCGAAAGACCCUCGGCUCAAGAAAAGCAUAAAAGCAUAAAAAAAGUCAGAUAAGGCUAAGAGAUUCAAAAGUCAGUAGCAUGUAUGACCAAGUUUGUAAAAUCAAUUUAUUUUGAGAAGGGCUUUUCAAAAAGGUACUUUUGGCCAAAAGUAGUUCAUAUUUGGUCAAUUAAUUUAAAAAGUACUUUUUGAGCAGGAAUUAGUGUUUAGCCAAGCUUUUAAAAAGGGUUUCUAUUUUUCUCAAAAGUGCUUUUGGGCAAAAGCUAUCUUUUUUAGCUUCUGAAAAACUGCUUCUGCUACUCUCCAAAAACACUUAUUUUCUCCCAAAAGCUUGGUCAAACACCUCAUUUUUUAAAAUAAUCACUUAUUGGAAAAAAUAAGCUUGGCCAAACAGGCUAGAAGGCUGUUCUAGGGUUGAUGGCGAGGCAAACACUAUGAUUGAUAAGCUCAUUGGAGAAACAGAAGGAGACUACCGAAACCAACCGAAACCACCAAUCUCUGGCUGCUAUGACGACAUUUUCUUUCAACUUUAGGAUUUCAAUGGAAUUGAUUUGUGAAUAUUUGCAUUGAAAAAUAAGUGGCGACAUAUUUUUGCCGAGUGGUUAUCAUGAUCCUAUAGCCGUGGUUAUUCAUACAACCAAAGACCUUAUGGAAUCUGACCCUCUCUCAAACCCAGUUAGAGUGGAGCGAAUGGACUAAAGCUGAAGAAAUCCAUUCCCUUGAAGUUCUAAAGUUGCAAGAAAAUGCUUUGAGAUUGGUGGGUUCAAUAGGCUCCUAGUCUUGUGGAUCACAGGACAAACUUGGAGGGCUUCAAAUCGCAACUUUUCUGGGCUCAAGCGACUAUGUUUUGUUGGCUUCUUGAAUGUGUCUCAAGAAGCCUGGCUGAUAACCCACUUUUCAAGAUACGAAACCGGGAAAUACCACAAGAGCAGUCAGUCAGGUCAGUAAGAAAAAUAGAGGAGAAGAAACUGGAAUAUUUCCUCCCGGUGGUGCUCUUGAUUUUUCUUUUGCGAUGCAGUGAUACUUGACACUUGACAGGUUUAGCAGGCUGUCAGGUGCAGGACGGUCAACGUGCGAGUUAGAGUUCCUGCAGCUUUCUACUUUUGGUGGGCCCACUUUUGCACUCGUGGAUCAUCUAUUUCAGUUGUAUACUUUUGUAUAGUGCGGGAUGACCUCGUAACUUUAUUAUUUCAUUCGUAGCGUCAUAGAGGCUCCAUAGAGACUUUGUAUUAUUUUGGGCAGUGGGUACUCAUAUGGCAUAGCAAAUGACAUUUCUACUUAUGUUUACUUUACGUUUUGAUGUGUACUUUGAUCGUGAAGGGAGUUAUUUUAUUUUGUCUCA